Molecule: ribosomal RNA, 1547 nt
Filed under: human gut metagenome
Description: bacterial LSU rRNA
Rfam family: Bacterial large subunit ribosomal RNA
Source: RNAcentral
CCAAUCGAACUCGGAGAUAGCUGGUUCUCCCCGAAAUAGCUUUAGGGCUAGCCUCAUAUUAGAUACCCGGAGGUAAAGCACUGAAUGGCCUAGCGCCCGAGAGGGUAGCGAAGCCUAUCAAACUAAGAAUGCCGGAGUAUUGAUGUAUGGGAGUCAGACAGUGUGAGAUAAAUCUCAUUGUCAAAAGGGAAACAGCCCAGAUCUACAGCUAAGGUCCCAAAUUGUAUCUAAGUGGAAAACGAUGUGGAAAUACGCAGACAACCAGGAUGUUGGCUCAGAAGCAGCCACUCAUUUAAAGAGUGCGUAAUAGCUCACUGGUCGAGCGUCUCUGCGCGGAAAAUUUAACGGGGCUAAGAUACAAACCGAAGCUUAGGCUGCAUCGUAAGAUGCGGGGUAGGGGAGCGUUGUGUAAGCGGAGAAACAGUAGCGUAAGCGGCUGUGGAGUUUACAGAAGUGAGAAUGCCGGAAUGAGUAGCGCGAAUGUGGUGAGAAUCCACAUGGCCGGAAACCUCAGGUUUUUGGAGGAAGGUUCGUCCGCUCCAAGUUAGGCGGGAGCUAAGGUCAGGCCGAAAGGCGUAGCCGAUGCACAGACGGUAGAGAUUCCGUCCCCACCGAAAGAUUUAAGCACAGGGACACUUUUUGAAGGUCGGAGCCAGGUGUUGGUUCUGGUAGUGAUCGAGGGAAAUAUAGUACCGAAGUCCGGCUGGAAGAGAGGCGAGAAAAGCUGUGUGUAUAUCUAAGGUGCCCGUACCGCAAACCGACACAGGUAGGUAGGAAGAAGAUUCUAAGGCCAACGGGAGAAGGGUUGUUAAGGAACUCGGCAAGUUGACCCCGUAACUUCGGAAUAAGGGGUGCUCACGAGAGUGAGCCGCAGAGAAUAGGCCCAGGCAACUGUUUACCAAAAACACAGGUUUGUGCUAAAUCGAAAGAUGACGUAUACGAGCUGACGCCUGCCCGGUGCUGGAAGGUUAAAAGGAGAUGUGCAAGCAUUGAAUUGAAGCCCCAGUGAACGGCGGCCGUAACUAUAACGGUCCUAAGGUAGCGAAAUUCCUUGUCAGGUAAGUUCUGACCCGCAUGAAAGGCGUAAUGAUUUGGGCACUGUCUCAACAGCCCGCCCGGCGAAAUUGUAGUACCGGUGAAGAUGCCGGUUACCCGCGACAAGACGGAAAGACCCCAUGGAGCUUUACUGUAGCCUAAUAUUGGGUUUCGGUGUUGCAUGCACAGGAUAGAUGGGACGCUAGGAAAGAAGCGCUUUGGCGUUUCUGGAGCGGACGUUGGGAUACCAUCCUUGCGACAUUGGAAUUCUAACCUGCGCCUCUGAAUCGAGGCGGGGGACAUUGUCAGGUGGGCAGUUUGACUGGGGCGGUCGCCUCCUAAAAAGUAGCGGAGGCGUUCAAAGGUUCGUUCGAUCUGGACGGAAACCAGAUGAAUGAGUGCAAACGCAUAAACGAGCCUGACUGCGAGACUGACGGGUCGAGCAGAGACGAAAGUCGGAGUUAGUGAUCCGGUGGUAUGUGAGUGGAAAUGCCAUCGCUCAACGGAUAAAA